GACUCUCUUAACACUAUAAAUAUAGUACUCGAUUGUGUUAUUCUCAUAUCAUUUAUCUACUAGCUAUAAUCCAUUUUAGUUUCAUUGAUUUAGUUUUGUUUAUGGUUUUCGUUUAGUUUCAUUGAUUCUUAAACACUAACUUAUGAGUUUUGUGUUUUUAUUUGUGUACAGAGAAACAUGUGAGCAUGAAAGAGAGACUUCAAAAAGUAAAGAUAAAGAAAGAGAGAAUGGCCCUGAUAAAGACAUAAAAGAAUUAAGUUUUAUGUUCUAAGAAGCGAUAUAGAUGUAGAGAUCAAAGUACGGAGUGUAGUGAAAAAAGGAAACGGUGUAGUAGAGAUGAUGAUGACUAUGGUCGAAGCCGCGAUCGUGACCAUGAUAGGUGAAGAGAUGAUCGAGGAGAUAGACGCAGUCAUCGAUUUGCUCCGAUUAUAUAAUGGACCAAUUAGAGAUUUAGAGUGCCGGAUUGAAGUUAGUGUUUCAAUUUUUAGUUUUUUCUUUAAAUUUGAUUUUAAAUUUUAGCAAUAUAUUGAAGAUUUAAAUAUACUACGGAAAAAUAGCA
Long non-coding RNA from Arabidopsis lyrata subsp. lyrata, 559 nucleotides. RefSeq lists it as uncharacterized. The transcript is spliced from 2 exons. The record is from RefSeq and is a predicted model, not a curated record. Lineage: Eukaryota; Viridiplantae; Streptophyta; Magnoliopsida; Brassicales; Brassicaceae.